Molecule: non-coding RNA, 113 nt
Organism: Ceratobasidium sp. AG-Ba
Lineage: Eukaryota; Fungi; Basidiomycota; Agaricomycetes; Cantharellales; Ceratobasidiaceae
Source: the annotation of a GenBank genome assembly
GGCACGAUGCCCGAGUUGGUCUAAGGGGACGCACUCAAGCGCUUAAGCUUGCUCAUCUCGGGUUCAUUUGCGUUCAGCGUUUGCUGGCAGGAGUUCGAAUCUCCUUCGUGUCA